Molecule: unclassified non-coding RNA, 1217 nt
Filed under: Hevea brasiliensis (rubber tree)
Lineage: Eukaryota; Viridiplantae; Streptophyta; Magnoliopsida; Malpighiales; Euphorbiaceae
Source: RNAcentral
AAAACACCUUCUCACACAGAGAACCCAAUCUCCGCCUCCGGCCACACUCUUAAUUUAUCGUCCUAGGGUUUUCAGUCGCCGGAAAAGAAAUUCGAUUUUCCGACGAAUCUAUCGAGGUGAUUGAGGAUUUGGAUGAGAAUACAAGAUGCCGCCAAAGCAAUCUAAAGCCGAUAUUGCAAAGAAGCAGAAGGUAGUUGAAGACAAGACGUUCGGUCUUAAGAAUAAGAACAAGUCGAAGAAUGUUCAGAAAUAUGUUCAGUCUUUACAGCAAAAUGUUGUGCCUAAAGCUGAUCCUAAGAAACUUGACGCCAAGAAAAAGAAGGAAGAAGAGAAAGCUAGAGAGAAAGAGCUUAGCGAAUUGUUCAAAGUCGCUAUUAGCCAACCUAAAGUGCCUCUAGGUGUUGAUCCAAAAUCUAUUUUAUGUGAGUUCUUUAAGGCGGGGCAAUGUGUUAAGGGUUUUAAGUGCAAGUUCUCUCACGAUCUGAAUGUUCAGCGAAAAGGAGAGAAGAUUGAUAUUUUCAGCGAUAAGCGUGAUGAAGAUGGAAAGGAAACAAUGGACGAUUGGGAUCAAGAGACACUGGAGAAGGUUGUGGCGUCAAAAAGUCAAGAGUAUAACAAGAACAAACCAACUGACAUUGUAUGUAAAUUCUUUUUGGAUGCUGUGGAGAAAAAGCAGUACGGUUGGUUCUGGGCCUGUCCAAAUGGUAAAGAAUGCCAUUACAGGCAUGCACUUCCUCCUGGAUAUAUUCUCAAGUCACAAAUGAAAGCCUUGUUACAAGAGGAAGCUGACAAGAUGCCUAUUGAAGAAGAAAUUGAUCAACAGCGUGCAAAAUUGACUGCUUCAACUCCCUUGACCACUGAAUUAUUUAUGGAAUGGAAAAAAAAGAAGACGGAAGAAAGAGAGGCCAAUUUGGCCAAACAGAGGGCAGAUAGAGCUAAGAAUGAUCGCAUGAGUGGUCGUGAGUUGUUCAUGUCGGAUGCUAGUUGGUUUGUGGAUGAUGUGGGGGCCUAUGACAAGUAUGAUAGGGAAGAAGAGUCUGCUGAACUCCCAAAGGAGAAUAAGGAUUCUGCUAGGGAAGAGGCAAGCUCCUCGACAUCAGCCCAGAAGAAUAUUCAUGAUGGUGGUGAGGCUUCACAUAAAGACCAAGUGGAUGACAUUUAUGACGACGACGAUGAUGAUGAUGACUUUGAUGUGGAUGAGUUAAAUGAACUGGAAG